This 614-nucleotide ribosomal RNA is filed under the name uncultured bacterium. Its description in RNAcentral is "bacterial SSU rRNA". It matches the Rfam family "Bacterial small subunit ribosomal RNA", at positions 28 to 638 of the family's 1533-position model. The record is from RNAcentral.
AGCGAACGCUGGCGGCGUGCUUAACACAUGCAAGUCGAACGCGCAGCAUUCUGUAGCAAUACAGGGUGUGGGCGCGUGGCGAACGGGUGCGUAACACGUGGAUAACCUUCCUUCAGGUGGGGAAUAACCCAGUGAAAAUUGGGCUAAUACCGCAUAACAUGACGAUGGCACAUGCUGUUGUCUUCAAAGGCGCAAGUCGCCAGAAGAGGGAUCCGCGGCCGAUUAGCUUGUUGGCGAGGUAAUGGCUCACCAAGGCAUUGAUCGGUAGCCGGACUGAGAGGUUGACCGGCCACACUGGAACUGAGACACGGUCCAGACUCCUACGGGAGGCAGCAGUGGGGAAUCUUGCACAAUGGACGAAAGUCUGAUGCAGCAACGCCGCGUGGGGGAUGAAGCUUCUCGGAGUGUAAACCCCUUUCGACCCGGAAGAAUGCCCGCAAGGGCUUGACGGUACGGGUAUAAGAAGCCCCGGCUAACUACGUGCCAGCAGCCGCGGUAAUACGUAGGGGGCCAGCGUUGCUCGGAAUUACUGGGCGUAAAGGGUCCGUAGGCGGUGCGGCAAGUCGAGAGUGAAAUCCCUAGGCUUAACCUAGGGGCUGCUAGCGAAACUGCCG